RNAcentral lists this ribosomal RNA (380 nucleotides) under uncultured eukaryote. RNAcentral's name for it is "partial 18S ribosomal RNA". It matches the Rfam family "Eukaryotic small subunit ribosomal RNA", at positions 592 to 976 of the family's 1831-position model. The record is from RNAcentral.
CAAUAGCGUAUAUUAAAGUUGUUGCGGUUAAAAAGCUCGUAGUUGGAUUUCUGCUGAAGGCAGCCGGUCCAUGUUCGACAUGCGCAUCUGGAUUGACUUCGGCAUCCUCUCAGAUAACGAUUCUGUGCUUGAUUGUAUGGAGCGGAGUUUGAGACUUUUACUUUGAGGAAAAUAGAGUGUUCACGGCAGGCAAUCGCCCUGAAUAUAUUAGCAUGGAAUAAUAAAAUAGGAUCUUGGUUCUAUUUUGUUGGUUUCUAGAACGAAGAUAAUGAUUAAUAGGGACAAUUGGGGGCAUUCGUAUUAACGCGUCAGAGGUGGAAUUCUUGGAUUGCGUUACGACGAACUACUGCGAAAGCAUUUGCCAAGGAUGUUUUCAUUGA